UUAUUACCACGGAUAUAAUUGAGUAACAAACGCGUAUAGUCUGUAAUAAAACAAAAUAUUUAAUAAAAAUUGAAUCUAUACCUAAUGAUAUUCUGAUAUUUUGUAAAAAAAAAAAUCGCAUAGUAAUGGAAUUCUGCUAGUAAUGAAUUUCUGUUCUGAGGAAGUGCAGUAACUCCAAGAAGCAAAUUGUUCACUGCAGGUAUAACAUGAAAAAAAUAACAAAAAGAGCUGACGGACAGAUGGAGAGAUAGAUAGGAGUGAAAUUUCCGUAUAACGAAGUCUCGUAGGAACACAAAAUUUGUAUUAUAUUAUUUGAUUAACAAAUAAGAAAUAACAAUGAUAUCAAGGAAGGUCAUGAUUCUCAAUAAUAAUUGGUUAAAUAGACAAUUUCGUUAAAAGAAAGUUCAUUAUAUGGAAGAUUUACUGUAUUUUUAGAAAAAAAUCAAAAAUUUCAAAUAAAUAAGUGCCAGACUGCCAGCUGGAUUCACGUUAAUAACACAAAAUAUACUGAAGCAUUUUUACUGUUACAAAAGUACAAAAACACAAUAAAAGUACAACAAUGAACUAAUGAACAAAGUAUCUUAUCACAGAAUAAAAAUAGAUGACGGAGAACUACGCUAGUGCGGUGUUCCUAUAUGGAACUAUGGAAGUAUGGAACACUGGUAAGACUAUAAAAUACCUAAUUCAUAUCUAAGAUU
Long non-coding RNA from Aphis gossypii (cotton aphid), 698 nucleotides. RefSeq lists it as uncharacterized. The transcript has 3 exons. NCBI's taxonomy places the organism in Eukaryota, Metazoa, Arthropoda, Insecta, Hemiptera, Aphididae. The record is from RefSeq and is a predicted model, not a curated record.